RNAcentral lists this ribosomal RNA (137 nucleotides) under Styloceras brokawii. RNAcentral's name for it is "partial 18S ribosomal RNA". The record is from RNAcentral. Lineage: Eukaryota; Viridiplantae; Streptophyta; Magnoliopsida; Buxales; Buxaceae.
AAUUGAAUGGUUCAGUGAAGUGUUUAGAACCCAGCCUUUGGGCAGUUCACCGCCAGCGAGUUAGGAGAAGGCCACUCAUACUUAUCAUAUAGAGGAAGAACAAGGUUUCCAUAGGUGAAUCUACAGAAGGAUCAUUG